Molecule: long non-coding RNA, 794 nt
Filed under: Ursus maritimus (polar bear)
Lineage: Eukaryota; Metazoa; Chordata; Mammalia; Carnivora; Ursidae
Description: lncRNA (ENSUMAG00000007700.1)
Source: RNAcentral
CAAAAUCUGAAUUCCUAAACACAACUAGCCCCAGGAGUUUCAGAUAAGGGAUUCCAGACCAGUCUUUCCAGUUAAGCCUUUGUUUGGUGCCUAGAGGUUGUAAUCCCAUCCCCACCAGUUCGCCUGGGGCAAUGCACCCUACUGAGAUGGGGGUUGUUCUCUUUAUUUUGCAAAGUGGGGAGAGGGAUGAUUAGGUCCUGAACCCAAGGCAGGUUUGGGGCAGUUUUAGGAAUAGCGUGGAGGGAGUUGGAAGCUCUGGGAAUAGAUUCCUUUAGGACAGUCCAUGCCGCAGGUCCCACUUCGAGGUCUACUGCUCCAGGGGUGGCCUUGGAAUGAGCACUGGGGUUGAAGAAGUGGUACAUUUUUGUUGUUGAAGGGUCUCAGCAUUGGGAAGUCCUGUGGAUUAAAUCUCACGGACUCUGAGGCAGUCCUUUGGAAGUCCUAGAGAGGAUUUGGGGUCCCCUUUGACCCGUGGCUUCACCAGGAUACCCAGUAAGUUCUUUCUGGUCUCCUUGUUCUAGGAUGCAAUGUGUGUUGCAAGUCUUCUUGGAAUCAGCUACAGGACCUGUGCCGCCUGGCCAAGCUCUCCUGCCCUGCCCUCGGCAUCUCCAAGAGGAAUCUCUAUGACUUUGAAGUGGAGUACCUGUGUGAUUACAAGAAAAUCCGCGAACAAGAGUAUUACCUGGUAAAAUGGCGUGGAUACCCAGACUCAGAGAGCACCUGGGAGCCACGGCAGAAUCUCAAGUGCGUGCGCAUUCUCAAGCAGUUCCAAAAGGACUUAGAAAGGGAGCUGC